Molecule: non-coding RNA, 142 nt
Filed under: Pongo abelii (Sumatran orangutan)
Lineage: Eukaryota; Metazoa; Chordata; Mammalia; Primates; Hominidae
Source: RNAcentral
GUAAUUAUCCAGUUGAUAUUUAUCUUGUUCCAGUCACCUUAAGAAAGCUGUUUGCUCUCAAAUCUCCUCUAUUGAUUGAUCUGAGUUGGCUGAUGAGUUGGCAGGCAAGGGCAGUGACUGGAAGCUGGGAGAGAGGGUCAAC